Tympanuchus pallidicinctus (lesser prairie-chicken) is the source of this 2353-nucleotide long non-coding RNA. RefSeq lists it as uncharacterized. Lineage: Eukaryota; Metazoa; Chordata; Aves; Galliformes; Phasianidae. The transcript has 2 exons. The record is from RefSeq and is a predicted model, not a curated record.
CCGACUUUCUGUUAUCAUACCCUAUGUUAAUACAUGUGCAGACGUGAAGGCGUGGAUCAGUAGUUUCACAGAACAGCUGGCAUGAAUCACAAUGCUGCAUGGUCCUACAGGAGCAGAGACAAAAUUGUCAAGAAGAAAACAACAACAACAAAAAAGACUACAAGUACUGUGGUGAUCACUGUGAGCACUUCUGCUGAAACCACCCUGGAGGCUGAUGCAUGUUUUUCGUGACUACUCCUGGAGCUAGGAUGCUCGCAGAAAUUGGCAACUGACUAAAGCAGAGGAAAAAAAAAGCUUUGCAGAGGAAGAACCUGUGCCAUUUUUUCAUCUAUACUGACAUGUUCAGUGAUUUCAGUGAUUCCAAAAUAAUAAUAAUCGUGGACAAACAGGAUGCGUUCCUUCUGGUGCUUAGUCAACCACUGUGCUGGGAUGUAUGAGAUCAAAUGGGGCCAAAGCGAAGCAUAAGCUUUGUGUUGUUGUUUGGCCAAGGAUGAGUGUCACGAACAGUUUAGAAGUACCUCAGUGAACAGUUUGCAUUUACUGAAGGCAUCAGCGCAGCUUUUGUUUGCACUUAGGGGUAUGAUUCAGAAGUACUAUGAAAUCCGUAGACUUGUUUGUUUACCACAUUUAAGUAUGAUCUAACUCUGAGAAACAUAGGAGAGAUGAAGAAAAAUGUUUUUAUUAGUUUCUAAACACCUUCAGAAUGUGUGGGGAUUGCUCCAAACGAGAAAAAAUGCACACAAUAAUUGUUGGCAACAGUACAGAAAUGGGAGACUGGAUGACAAUGGCAUCUUUUCUACUCACAGCGUUAAUGUCAGAGUCGUGAGUAAUCAAAAGGGUACAUUAAUUAUCUAAUCUGUUCCCUGUGUUUGUAUUGCUUGAAAUGUAUUUAUAAUGCUUCUACUGCCAUGGGAUUUGUGAACAUUUGCUUUAGGAACUGCUCCUACACAUUCUAUAUGUGCAAGAAGGCCUCACGGGUAUGUAUCGUUCUACAGAUUUCAGCAGCACUGUGGCAGAGGAGCAAGCUUAUGUAUCAUACUGGACAUUUAUCCGAGAUGCUUGAGCUUCUACAGAUUUAUGUUCAUGCACAUAAUGUUCUUCUGCUGCUAAUACACCUCACUUCUUGUCCCUGGUAAGCAGCUUCUACAGUGUUAUCUCAGUUAUGCUGUUACCAGCACCCAACUCCUUCACUAGAAGCAUGGAGAAGGCUCUGGGGAAACCUCGUUACAGCCUUCCAGUACUUGAGCUUAUACGCAGGAGAGGGACUGACUUUUUGCAUGGUCUGAUAGCGAUAGGACAAGGGAGAAUGGUUUUAAAACGAAAAGAGGGGAAACUUAGGUUAGAUAAAAUUCUUUACUCAGAAUGGUGAAGCAUGGGCACAAGCUGCCCAGAGAACCAUCCCUAAUUCAAGGCCAGGUUGGAUGGGAUCCUGGGCAGCUCAAUCCAGUGGAUGGACACCCUGCCCAUGACAGGGGGGUUGGAACUAGACUGUCUUUAAGUUUCCUUCCAACCUAAGCCAUUCUGUGGUUCAUUCAUGUGCUCUGCCAUGAAGCUUGAGUCACAGAAUGGAGCCUGAUAUAGGCAGGAGAUAGAAAAGGAGGAGGCUGCCAUCCUUGAGCCCCAGUCAGUGCCAGGCCCACACUAGCAGCUUCUUGGUAUGGACAUAAGCCUGCAAGUACCACGCUGAACAGCAUGUGACUUGAUUUUAAGAACUACAGGCUUUGAAUUUGUGGAUGGAUGUUUGUGUGUGCUUAGCAUGCAUCACAUACCAUAGGAGCAGUGUGACAAAGAUUAAUGUAAUUAAAACCCCAGCCUUUUGGUAGUGCUGCUGGCUCCACUUCCCCUGUAAGCACCCCGAGCAGCACUCUAAGGAAGCCUGCCAUGCCAAACACUCUGUCGUGCUUCAUCCUCUCCUUGUUCUUUAUAUGGUGCUGCCUCUGACGUCAGUGGAGACCUGACAUAAAGAGAGCAGAGGAAUUGGGCUGAAAUGAUUUUUUUAUAACAAGAUUAAAUAGGAGGAGGCUCUCUGAAGUGUACAGAAAUCUUAUUCCUUCCCACAGCAUAAAUGAAUAUUUUUUAUUUUAUUCUUCAAGGACACUUACCUGCAUAGGAUUUUCUAUGUGUGAUUAUGGGCGAUUGCCAACACGCUUGCCAGAAAGGAUCUGUAAUGAGCAAACAAGGCAUUACCAGUACACUUCUAACAUGCAUUUCCAUUUGCUAUUCCACGUCACACACACUUCUUAAUAACUUCUGUGCAUACAGCUUUGCCUCCUCAUUUCCGUCUUGCAGUUGCUAAAUCCUCUUGAAUAAAGGCAUGCAAAUGUGAGUGAACACACGCUGUGUUCAUCAGGAA